GUCCUCUGUCCGCAAGACGAGAUACGCCCCGGUAGUGCUCUCGGUUUGGCGUGUCGUCCCCAAAGAUGAAACGGCUUCGUCUCGUAGGUAGCAGCACCGCACACCAACGAGCUCCGGCGAACUGGAACGAGGCGAGAACAGAACUUUACGAUGCAGAGUGCAGCAGAGUAAGAGUGUAAUGCUUGUUUUCAGGUGGUGAAUGAUGCAUGGAGGCUGUCCUAUAUAUAGGCACAGUCCACAUCAAUGGGGGAGCCUACGGGAUUAAUACCAUUGAUGGUAUUCAAAUGGUGUCGGG
RNAcentral lists this long non-coding RNA (295 nucleotides) under Salvia miltiorrhiza (redroot sage). Its description in RNAcentral is "long non-coding RNA (SMIL_LNC004275)". The record is from RNAcentral. Lineage: Eukaryota; Viridiplantae; Streptophyta; Magnoliopsida; Lamiales; Lamiaceae.